AGCAGGAAAGCAGGGGACCGCAAGGCCUUGCGCUCUUUGAGCGGCCGAUGUCAGAUUAGCUAGUUGGUGAGGUAAAGGCUUACCAAGGCGACGAUCUGUAGCGGGUCUGAGAGGAUGAUCCGCCACACUGGAACUGAGACACGGUCCAGACUCCUACGGGAGGCAGCAGUGGGGAAUUUUGGACAAUGGGGGCAACCCUGAUCCAGCCAUGCCGCGUGAGUGAAGAAGGCCUUCGGGUUGUAAAGCUCUUUCGGCCGGGAAGAAAUCGCAUGGGCCAAUACCCUGUGUGGAUGACGGUACCGGAAUAAGAAGCACCGGCUAACUACGUGCCAGCAGCCGCGGUAAUACGUAGGGUGCGAGCGUUAAUCGGAAUUACUGGGCGUAAAGCGUGCGCAGGCGGUUUUGUAAGACAGGCGUGAAAUCCCCGGGCUUAACCUGGGAACUGCGUUUGUGACUGCAAGGCUAGAGUACGGCAGAGGGGGGUGGAAUUCCACGUGUAGCAGUGAAAUGCGUAGAGAUGUGGAGGAACACCAAUGGCGAAGGCAGCCCCCUGGGUCGAUACUGACGCUCAUGCACGAAAGCGUGGGUAGCAAACAGGAUUAGAUACCCUGGUAGUCCACGCCCUAAACUAUGUCAACUAGGUGUUGGGUGGGUAAAACCAUUUAGUACCGUAGCUAACGCGUGAAGUUGACCGCCUGGGGAGUACGGCCGCAAGGUUAAAACUCAAAGGAAUUGACGGGGACCCGCACAAGCGGUGGAUGAUGUGGAUUAAUUCGAUGCAACGCGAAAAACCUUACCUACCCUUGACAUGCCAGGAACUUGCCAGAGAUGGCUUGGUGCCCGAAAGGGAGCCUGGACACAGGUGCUGCAUGGCUGUCGUCAGCUCGUGUCGUGAGAUGUUGGGUUAAGUCCCGCAACGAGCGCAACCCUUGUCGUUAAUUGCCAUCAUUUAGUUGGGCACUUUAACGAGACUGCCGGUGACAAACCGGAGGAAGGUGGGGAUGACGUCAAGUCCUCAUGGCCCUUAUGGGUAGGGCUUCACACGUCAUACAAUGGUCGGUACAAAGGGUUGCCAAGCCGCGAGGCGGAGCCAAUCCCAGAAAGCCGAUCGUAGUCCGGAUUGCAGGCUGCAACUCGCCUGCAUGAAGUCGGAAUCGCUAGUAAUCGUGGAUCAGCAUGUCACGGUGAAUACGUUCCCGGGUCUUGUACACACCGCCCGUCACACCAUGGGAGCGGGUUCCGCCAGAAGUAGGUAGCCUAACCGCAAGGGGGGCGCUUACCACGGCGGGGUUCGUGACUGGGGUGAAGUCGUGACAAGGUA
This 1321-nucleotide ribosomal RNA is filed under the name metagenome. RNAcentral's name for it is "bacterial SSU rRNA". It matches the Rfam family "Bacterial small subunit ribosomal RNA", at positions 197 to 1498 of the family's 1533-position model. The record is from RNAcentral.